Molecule: ribosomal RNA, 425 nt
Filed under: uncultured bacterium
Lineage: Bacteria
Description: partial 16S ribosomal RNA
Rfam family: Bacterial small subunit ribosomal RNA
Source: RNAcentral
GUGGGGAAUAUUGGGCAAUGGGCGAAAGCCUGACCCAGCAACGCCGCGUGAAGGAAGAAGGUUUUCGGAUCGUAAACUUCUAUCCUUGGUGAAGAUAAUGACGGUAGCCAAGAAGGAAGCCCCGGCUAACUACGUGCCAGCAGCCGCGGUAAUACGUAGGGGGCAAGCGUUGUCCGGAAUGAUUGGGCGUAAAGGGCGCGUAGGCGGCCCGGUAAGUCUGAAGUGAAAGUCCUGCUUUUAAGGUGGGAAUUGCUUUGGAUACUGUCGGGCUUGAGUGCAGGAGAGGUAAGCGGAAUUCCCGGUGUAGCGGUGAGAUGCGUAGAGAUCGGGAGGAACACCAGUGGCGAAGGCGGCUUACUGGACUGUAACUGACGCUGAGGCGCGAAAGUGUGGGGAGCAAACAGGAUUAGAUACCCCAGUAGUCC